This 229-nucleotide ribosomal RNA is filed under the name uncultured bacterium. Its description in RNAcentral is "partial 16S ribosomal RNA". It matches the Rfam family "Bacterial small subunit ribosomal RNA", at positions 104 to 334 of the family's 1533-position model. The record is from RNAcentral.
CGGGGUGAGUAAUGUCUGGGAAACUGCCUGAUGGAGGGGGAUAACUACUGGAAACGGCAGCUAAUACCGCAUAACGUCGCAAGACCAAAGAGGGGGACCUUCGGGCCUCUUGCCAUCGGAUGUGCCCAGAUGGGAUUAGCUAGUAGGUGGGGUAACGGCUCACCUAGGCGACGAUCCCUAGCUGGUCUGAGAGGAUGACCAGCCACACUGGAACUGAGACACGGUCCAG